This 2010-nucleotide long non-coding RNA is filed under the name Apteryx haastii (Great spotted kiwi). RNAcentral's name for it is "lncRNA (ENSAHAG00000018776.1)". Lineage: Eukaryota; Metazoa; Chordata; Aves; Apterygiformes; Apterygidae. The record is from RNAcentral.
AUGGAGGCGUUAAUAAAGGUAGUUGCGUUUCUAGCUAAGGAAUGGGGAGCUUCUGUGAAGCCGAAGGAUAUUACACUAUGUGUAGAGCGGCUCCAGAAAGAAGGAGCCAUAAAUAGGCCGGGGGACUGCUUGCAGCCGGAAUUCUGGCCGCAAUGUGCUACGGUGCUGGCGGAGCAAGCUAUGUCCACAAACACGGCCAAAGAUCUCAAGACGUGGGGAAUUAUACUCUGUUUUCUGAGGCGGUCGUGGGAAGAAAUGGAGACUUGGAAGGUCGCCCGCAACGCGUUGUUUCAUCAGGAGGAGGCUGAGACGGAAACGGAGGAGAAGUCUAGCGAUGGGGGAGCGAAAGAAUGGGAGAGCGGGGGUGGGGAGGCCCCAGCGAAAGAACGGGAGAGCGGGGGCGGGGAGGCCCCAGCAAAAGAACGGGAGAGCGGAGGCGGGGAGGUCCCAGUGAUCCUACCGGUGGAAUCCCAGGAACCGCCUCCGGUGUACCCCUGGCAAGAUCUCACACAAGCCGGAGAGGGCUGGGGGGUCGACGGGACCGACCCCGAGGAUUGCGUGCCUGGCGCAGUUCUGAGGAAGGUACUUAGUGAGGAAGAUAAGAUCCUGCUGCCGUGGGCCCCGGUAGAGGAGGGGGCUGUAGGCGGGGAGAGUCAGGCACUGCAGCGAAGGAGGAAGGGUAGCGGCCAAUCGGAGCGGAGAGACCAGAGUACGACCUUGAAAGGAGGAAGGAAAGUCCGAGUGAGAUCGCCAGUUAAGGAGGAGAGCAGAGAAGAUAGUGACGAGGAAGGCGGGGGCUUGCGGGAAGUUACGUGCAGGCUGCAGGGAUGUGUAAUAGGAGAGACGCAGCCGAAAGGGAGGCCGAAGGGCGGAGAGGAAGUAACAACAUCCCCGGUCGACACCCUAUUGCAUGCAUUAGAGGAAAUAAGGCGGGAGGUCAUGGCCACAACAGAGGCUUCGCGGGCCGCGUAUGAGGAACUCGGGAAGCUAGUAAAGGUAGAGCCACCCUGGACAAAGAUAAAACAGACACACGCAGAGAGCUUCACUGAAUUCUGUGACAGGCUCCAACGGGCCAUUGCAGAGUCAGACUUGCCCMCUGAGGCCCAGGGUCCGGUCAUGAUGGAGUGCCUCUGGCAGCAGAGUAACGCCAUGAUGCAGGACAUCAUGAAAAUGAUCCCUAAAGGAACACCACUUUCGGUUGUCAUCCACACGGUACUGGAAAAACAGAACCAGGGAACAGCGGCAGCGCAGGCCCUUGUCGCGGCGGUGGACCAGAUGAGAAAGGGACCACAGCGAUGCUUCUCUUGUGGCAGAUUAGGGCAUAUUAGCGCACACUGUCAGCAGCCGGGCCGGCCGAUCCCGUGGCAAGGCCGGGGGCCAUGCUSGGCUUGUGGGCAGUACGGGCAUGUAGCCCAAGAGUGUCCCCAAAAUCAACAGCGGAAACUGCCGGGAAACGGGGGGCGGGGGGGACUUCGCAAAGGGGCGUCCCUCCUGAAGAUCUUGGCCCCGCGCAGGAGUGUGACCGGAGUUGGCCCGACAGUGGCAGCGGUUCAAGAGGAAGACGUCCCAACGUGGCCCUGGCAGUAAAAUUAGGUGAUCGCCCGGUGGUGCGGGCGACGCUGAGCUUGGGAGGACGCAGCGACGAGGGGAGGAGGAUAGUAACCAUGCUGGUGGACUCCGGAGCGGACGUGACAUGCAUAGCGCACGCCCAGUGGCCUGAGAGCUGGCCCUUGAUGAAUGCUGGUUAUAUAACCGGUGUUGGAGGAAUGGCUAGUACGUACAGGAGUGUGAUGCUGGUGGAGAUCUGCGUGCAGGACGACGACGGCGACGAGCUGAUAGCUCGGGUCCGGCCGUACGUCACGCACAUCCCUGACUCGCUGUUAGGCCGAGAUGCCAUGGCGCAAAUGAGGCUCAAGCUCACAAAUUUAGUAUGAGGGCCACUGCUGGAGGCGGCGUGAGGAUCACCUGGAAGACAGAAGAACCUGUGUGGAUAGAGCAGUGGCCCCUUAC